AUUAGCCAUGCAUGUCUCAGUACAAGCCGAAUUAAGGUGAAACCGCGAAAGGCUCAUUAAAUCAGUUAUGGUUCCUUAGAUCGUACCCACAUUUACUUGGAUAACUGUGGUAAUUCUAGAGCUAAUACAUGCAAACAGAGCUCCGACCGGAGACGGAAGGAGCGCUUUUAUUAGAUCAAAACCAAUCGGCGUCGGUCGCCUCGCGCGUCCGUCGUCGUUCGCCCUGGCGAAUCUGAAUAACUUUAAGCAGAUCGCACGGUCUCGCACCGGCGACGCAUCUUUCAAAUGUCUGCCUUAUCAACUGUCGAUGGUAGGUUCCGUGCCUACCAUGGUCGUAACGGGUAACGGGGAAUCAGGGUUCGAUUCCGGAGAGGGAGCCUGAGAAACGGCUACCACAUCCAAGGAAGGCAGCAGGCGCGCAAAUUACCCACUCCCGGCACGGGGAGGUAGUGACGAAAAAUAACGAUACGGGACUCAUCCGAGGCCCCGUAAUCGGAAUGAGCACACUCUAAACCCUUUAACGAGGAUCAAUUGGAGGGCAAGUCUGGUGCCAGCAGCCGCGGUAAUUCCAGCUCCAAUAGCGUAUAUUAAAGUUGUUGCGGUUAAAAAGCUCGUAGUCGAAUCUGUGUCCCGCGCCGCCGGUUCAUCGCUCGCGGUGUUUAACUGGCGUGUUUACGCGGGACGUCCUGCCGGUGGGCUUAGCCCGCGAGGGCGGCCCAACUUGCGAAUCCCGCCGCGGUGCUCUUCGCUGAGUGUCGAGGCGGGCCGGCACGUUUACUUUGAACAAAUUAGAGUGCUUAAAGCAGGCUAAAACUUCGCCUGAAUACCGUGUGCAUGGAAUAAUGGAAUAGGACCUCGGUUCUAUUUUGUUGGUUUUCGGAACCCCGAGGUAAUGAUUAAUAGGAACGGAUGGGGGCAUUCGUAUUGCGACGUUAGAGGUGAAAUUCUUGGAUCGUCGCAAGACGGACGGAAGCGAAAGCAUUUGCCAAAAACGCUUUCAUUGAUCAAGAACGAAAGUUAGAGGUU
RNAcentral lists this ribosomal RNA (1026 nucleotides) under Melanotus sp. JHY-2013. RNAcentral's name for it is "SSU rRNA". It matches the Rfam family "Eukaryotic small subunit ribosomal RNA", at positions 44 to 998 of the family's 1831-position model. Lineage: Eukaryota; Metazoa; Arthropoda; Insecta; Coleoptera; Elateridae. The record is from RNAcentral.